This is a non-coding RNA of Xenopus tropicalis (tropical clawed frog), 46 nucleotides long. Lineage: Eukaryota; Metazoa; Chordata; Amphibia; Anura; Pipidae. The record is from Rfam.
ACAAAGGCUCUUCUAAGAGCCCCCACUCUCUCCCUAUAAGAUCUGU